GAUGAACGCUAGCGGCAGGCUUAAUACAUGCAAGUCGAGGGGCAGCAGGUCCCGCAGCAAUGCGGGAUGCUGGCGACCGGCAAACGGGUGCGGAACACGUACAGAACCUUCCUUUAAGUGAGGAAUAGCCCGGGGAAACCCGGAUUAAUACCCCGUAACAUAAUGAAGUGGCAUCACUUUAUUAUUAUAGCAGCAAUGCGCUUGAAGAUGGCUGUGCGGCUGAUUAGGUAGUUGGCGGGGUAACGGCCCACCAAGCCCACGAUCAGUAACUGGUGUGAGAGCACGAGCAGUCACACGGGCACUGAGACACGGGCCCGACUCCUACGGGAGGCAGCAGUAAGGAAUAUUGGGCAAUGGACGCAAGUCUGACCCAGCCAUGCCGCGUGGAGGAUGAAGGUCCUCUGGAUUGUAAACUUCUUUUAUCUGGGAAGAAAUCUAUUUUUUCUAAAGUAGUUGACGGUACCAGAUGAAUAAGCACCGGCUAACUCCGUGCCAGCCGCCGCCGUAA
RNAcentral lists this ribosomal RNA (508 nucleotides) under uncultured bacterium. Its description in RNAcentral is "partial 16S ribosomal RNA". It matches the Rfam family "Bacterial small subunit ribosomal RNA", at positions 28 to 523 of the family's 1533-position model. The record is from RNAcentral.